AAGGAUAAACUAUCAUAUUCUAGCCAUACUUAGAAAUCUCAACACUAUACCAUAUAUCACUAGCCAAUAUACAAAAUAAAGGCGAAAGAAGGACCACUUUGGUAGGAGCAUACAAUGCUGAACUCACUGGCAGAUUCCCAUCUAUAAUUGCAACACAGGUGACUGACUCCACAUCAACUGCCGGCUCACAAGCACUGGGUACCUUGCCAAUACCAAUUCUACAAAUCAGGACCUCACCACAUGCUAAUAAACUCCAUGAAAUAGUUUCCCACAAAUGUAAUGACAACAGUGAAGAGGUACAGAACUCCAGUAUUGAGGAAGGCAGUAAGGAAGAUAAAGAUGAAGACAACAAUUCUCAGAAUCUCAACGAAGUUAUGAGGUUGGCUGGGUCAGCAACAACUCCUAAAUCUCAUACUAAUAGAACUCGAAACAAAUCAGAGGUCUUACAAAAUAAGAGAGUACUGCCCAAACGGGGAUCCAAAUAAUCUGACAUAGCACUAUGAAAAUGUUAUUUUGGAACAUAAGGUCUGUCAGGACAUUUCAUGCUUUCCACACGGUUCAGAUGCUUCAUAAGCACCACAAAUUCAGCUUUGUAGCCUUAAUGAAACCAUUCCAAGAAGGCUAUUCCACUGCAGAAGUAUAAAAGAAAACUGAGGAUGGAGUAUGCUAAUUGUAAUGUAAAUGGUAAGAUAUGGAUUAUUUCUCAAAAUAACAUUCAAGUUCAGGUUCUGGCUGAUUUUGAACAACAGCUCACUACUAAAUUGAAGUUUGUGGAUGAUAAUUGGGAAAUAGUCAUCACCUCUGUUUAUGCAAAAUGUGAUCCUAAUCAAAGAAUGGAUUUGUGGAGUGAUUUAUAUGCCAUUCACAAUAACUUGUCUCUACCUUGGCAUGUGGGAGGCGACUUUAAUGUUAUUCUUGAUGCUGAAGAGAAAAUUGGAGGGCUCCCACUAUAUCCACAAGAAUAUGAAGAUUUUGAAUUUUGUGCAAACUCAUGUGGAUUAAUCGAUAUAAAAUUUAAAGGUAGCCCGUUUACAUGGUGGAAUGGUAGGGCAGAUGCAAAAUGUAUUUUCAAGAGGCUUGAUAGACUGCUUAUUGACCACGAGUUCUUGGGUGCUGUUGGUAAGGCUGAGCUAGAACACCUAGCAAGGACUGGGUCAGAUCAUGCUCUACUUUUACUUUCCUGUAGUGGUCUAGAAGAGAAACCUAAUAGACCUUUCAGAUUUCUAAAGAUGUGGCUGGAUACAGAAGGUUUCAUGGAAGUGGUUCAAAAUGCUUGGCACUCUGUUGCUAAUGAGGAUGUGUUCAUCAACUUAAAGCUAAAAAUGUAGAUGACAAAAUUAGCUUUAACAAAAUGGAGCAGAGAGACACCGGGGGACAUAUUCCAACAGUUAGCAAUUAGGGAAGAAAUUGUGAAGAUUAAAGAAGCGUUAGUUGAGGAAGGCCCUACUGCUGCAAAUAGGGCUGUGCUGAGGCUUGCUCAAGCUGAGUUAGUUAAAUAUUUGAAACUGGAAGAGGAUUAUUAGCAGCAAAAGGCUGGUAUACAAUGGUUCUCGGAAGGGGAUCGUAACACCAGGUUUUUCCACAGCGUGGUAAGAGGUAGGCGUAAUAGAUUGAAUAUUACCAGAAUUUAAAAAGAAAAUGGUGACUGGGCAGAAGGGUCGCAACAGGUUGCUUCUGAAGCCGUUGGAUUUUUCAAGGAUCAAUUCUCUUCUCAGUUACAUUCAACUGAUUUUACUUUACUGGAAGCAAUCCCCCAUUCAGUAACAGUGGAAGAAAACAGACGUCUAAAUGCUACUUGCUUUGAAGAAGAAAUUAAAGCUACUGUUUUUGGGUUAAAUGGUGAUGGUGCUUGUGGUCCUGAUGGCUUCAAUGGAUUAUUUUUUCAAAGGACAUGGGAGGUAAUACGAAAAGAUGUGUGCGCAGUGGUGAAUGCAUUCUUUCAAGGUCAAACUCUUCCUAAAUCCAUCACUCAUACAAACUUGGUCCUUAUUCCUAAAAAACAAGUCAUUCACUCUUUUUUAGAUCUUAGACCUAUUAGUCUUAGUAAUUUUCUCAACAAGAUUAUUUCAAGAAUCUUACAUGAUAGGUUGGACAAAAUACUUCCAAAACUGAUUUCUCAGAACCAAUCUAGUUUUGUGGAAGGAAGGAAUAUCUCUGAAAAUGUUUUGUUGGCGCAAGAAAUUAUUUCUGAUAUUAGAAAAAGGGGUAAGCCGGCUAAUGUGAUUUUUAAACUUGAUAUGGCUAAGGCUUAUGACAGAGUUGAAUGGUUCUUUCUAGUUAAAGCCUUGGAAAAAAUGGGUUUGAUAGCGGGAUUGUUGAUAAAAUUUGGAAAUUGCUCUCUAAUCACUGGUAUUCUAUCUUAAUUAAUUGGCAAGCACAUGGUAUCUUUCACCCUACUAGAGGGGUGAAGCAGGGUGAUCCGUUAUCACCUGCCCUUUUUAUUCUGGCUGCGGAAGUGCUCUCUAAAAACUUAAAUGAAUUGUUUAACAACAAGGAUUUUAAGGGUUUUGGAGUGCCAAAAUGGAGUGAACAGAUUAAUAAUCUCUCGUAUGCAGACAAUACCAUCAUUUUCACGAAUGCAGACAAGUAAAGCAUGCAGCUGGUUAUGCAUACUCUCUCUAGUUAUGAGGUACAAUCUGGUCAAAAGAUAAACAAAGGCAAAAGCUUCUUCUAUGUCCAUAGUAAAAUUGCUGGAAGUAUUGUUCAAGACAUAGAAGGUGUGACUGGUUUCAACAAAGGUAAGUUCCCUUUACUUACCUUGGAUACCCGAUAGGUCAUGCAAGGAAAAAGAAAGCUCAUUUUUCUGAUUUGAUUUAAAAAGUUCAAAAUAAUUUGCAAGCUUGGAAAGGAAAGCUACUGUCCUUUGGAGGUAAAUAUGUACUUAUCAAGAAUGUUUUGCAAAGCAUCCCUAUUUACCUUCUCAAAGUUAUCUCUCCUCCUAAGUGUGUCCUGCAUGAUCUAUAUAGAACCUUUGCUAAAUUUUUGUGGAAUUUCAAAGAAAUAGGCAGGAGUAAGCACUGGGUCUCUUGGAUUGAUAUGUGUUUGACUAAAGAAGAAGGAGGACUAGGCUUUAGGUCCCUGUUUGAUGUAUCCAAGGCUCUUUUUACGAAGCUAUGGUGAUAUUUAGAACCAAAAAAUCAUUGUGGACUAAUUUCCUAUGGAAUAAGUACUGCAAAAGGCAUAGACCUCAAUUGGUUGAAUGGAGAGGGGGGUCACAAACCUGGAAACUUAUGUUGGAAGCGAGGGAUUUCAUUGAUCAAGACAUUUGGUGGGAACCUAGAUGUGGUCAUUCAAGUGUUUGGUUUGAUAAUUGGUCUAAACUGGAUUACUUGCUCCCCGUUAACUAUCCUAUCAAUUUUGAGGUGGAGGACCUCAAGCUUUUGUAGUUGGAUGGGGGCUGGAAUGAGGACCUGAUGGCUCAGUUAUUCCCUGAAGAGAUAUGUCAACACAUCCUCUCUGAAAUCCCCAUCAUGAUUGAUGAAGAUACAUGGGAUCACCCCUGGUGGAUGAAUACUCCCUCUGGAAAAUUUACUGUGGGUUCUGCUUGGGAGUUAGGAAGACAUAGAGCUGAGGUCAAGGAAGUGUAUAAGCUCAUGUGGGUCAAAGGAAUUCCUUUUAAAAUAAAUUUCUUCUUCUGGAGCUUAUGCAAACAAAGACUUCCACUCGGAGAAGUUAACAGGAACAUGGGUAUAUCAGAUGAUGUAAUAUGUGCCUACUGCAAUGAACAGCAAACAGAAACCUGGGAGCAUCUGUUUCUCUCUUGUCCUAAAACUGCUAGACUAUGGAACUCUUUCUCCUAUAUUGCAGGUGUAACAGGUGCGUUUCUUCAGCUCAAAUGCUCAAUAUACAGCUGUUGGAAUGCAAACUGUAACACUAAGCUGAAACCAUUAUAUCAAGGCAUGCCAAUUUUCAUUCUUUGGCAAAUUUGGAAGGCUAGGAAUACAAUAAAAUAUAGAGGUAAAUACUCUUAUUGGAGAAUGGAGAUGGAAGUUAAUUGCAACAUUUCUUUAUUUGCAAGAAACAAAUAUCCUUGUCUAACUCAUCUGCCAACAUCAUGGCCGUAAAUAUAUGCCUAGGAUACAAGCUAAAGUUAUCAAAUGGUCAGCACCAGGUCAAGGAGUAUAUAAGUGUAAUAUUGAUGGUUCAUCCAAAGGGGAAACUGGUAGUAGUUCAAUUGGAUUUUGUGUUAGAAAUUGGGAGGGUACUUUUAUAUCUGCUGAAACAAGGAAGAUCGAGGAUUGUCACAGCCUUUCAGCUGAAGUAAGAGCCAUAAGAAUAGCGCUCCAACACUGCCUCUCCAAUCAAUAUACUCCUUUGGUGAUCGAAACAGAUUCCACGACUGUCGAGCAAGUCCUACAAGGUACUCAGCAACUAACAAUUCUUUUUAGGAACUACCAACCCAUGCAAAGACAAUUCUGAACAUGGACAAAAAUCACGUGCCUAACAUCAGAAUCAAGAAACAACAGAACAAGGAAUUCAACCCCUCAUCAACAAUAUAACAAAACAACAAAAACAGAGUUGGAGCACAAGAGCAAAGACUACAUUACAACACAUUAAAGGUGUAUUAUAGGUGAUCAAAUAUCACUCUACACUCCAUCCUUUGUCAGAGAUACUUCACUUUCUGGUUGGCUGUGAAACUCCUAUAACUACGAUUUCAUCUAGUUAUGAUUCUACAUGAGGAGUUGAAGACGUCUUCAUGGCUUUGAUUGACUUGGCAUUUGUGAGAGUUUUUGAAUGCCCAUCGAGCAAUCAACCCAAAUUCCUCAAGUAUGGAUCAUGGUAGAAGAAUGGCAGACUUAGCUGCUACGCAAGUCAAGGCCUUUAUCUGCUGAAAACAGUUCAACAAGAUCAUGAGGAGGCGAACAAGGCAAAGUCGAAAUGUAGCUUUUUACUGCAUUUUCUUUCCUUUUGUCCUAUUUGUUACAUCUCCAUUUCUUUGUAUUUUGUUUUGUUUUUCCAUUUCCAGGAUCUCUUGAUCCAAUUUUGUUCUUGGAUUCACUUGUAUUCAGGAAUGAAUCUUUAAUUAAAAACAAAAAAACAGUAUACAAGGUAAGGACUGAAUA
Long non-coding RNA from Capsicum annuum, 5063 nucleotides. RefSeq lists it as uncharacterized. NCBI's taxonomy places the organism in Eukaryota, Viridiplantae, Streptophyta, Magnoliopsida, Solanales, Solanaceae. The record is from RefSeq and is a predicted model, not a curated record. The transcript has 3 exons.